Molecule: ribosomal RNA, 572 nt
Filed under: uncultured Glomeromycotina
Lineage: Eukaryota; Fungi; Glomeromycota
Description: SSU rRNA
Rfam family: Eukaryotic small subunit ribosomal RNA
Source: RNAcentral
UUGGAGGGCAAGUCUGGUGCCAGCAGCCGCGGUAAUUCCAGCUCCAAUAGCGUAUAUUAAAGUUGUUGCAGUUAAAAAGCUCGUAGUUGAAUUUCGGGAUUGGCGCAUCGGUCGUGCCUCACGGGGUAUGAACUGGUGCAGUCAAUUUCUCACCUUCUGGAGAACCGCGAUGUCCUUAAUUGGAUGCCGCGGGGAACCAGGACAUUUACUUUGAAAAGAUUAGAGUGUUUAAAGCAGGCAUUUUUGCUUGAAUACAUUAGCAUGGAAUAAUAAAAUAGGACGGCAUGGUUCUAUUUUGUUGGUUUCUAGGACCACCGUAAUGAUUAAUAGGGAUAGUUGGGGGCAUUAGUAUUCAAUUGUCAGAGGUGAAAUUCUUGGAUUUAUUGAAGACUAAUUACUGCGAAAGCAUUUGCCAAGGAUGUUUUCAUUAAUCAAGAACGAAAGUUAGGGGAUCGAAGACGAUCAGAUACCGUCGUAGUCUUAACCAUAAACUAUGCCGACUAGGAAUCAGACGAUGUUAAUUUUUUAAUGACUCGUUUGGCACCUUACGGGAAACCAAAGUGUUUGGGUUC